AGAAGGCCUUCGGUUGUAAAGGACUUUUGUCAGGGAAGAAAAGGCUGUUGCUAAUAUCGACAGCUGAUGACGGUACCUGAAGAAUAAGCACCGGCUAACUACGUGCCAGCAGCCGCGGUAAUACGUAGGGUGCGAGCGUUAAUCGGAAUUACUGGGGCGUAAAGCGAGCGCAGACGGUUACUUAAGCAGGAUGUGAAAUCCCCGGCUCAACCCGGGAACUGCGUUCUGAACUGGGUAACUAGAGUGUGUCAGAGGGAGGUAGAAUUCCACGUGUAGCAGUGAAAUGCGUAGAGAUGUGGAGGAAAUACCGAUGGCGAAGGCAGCCUCCUGGGAUAACACUGACGUUCAUGCUGCUCGAAAGCGUGGGUAGCAAACAGGAUUAGAUACCCUGGUAGUCCACGCCCUAAACGAUGUCAAUUAGCUGUUGGGCAACUUGAUUGCUUAGUAACGUAGCUAACGCGUGAAAUUGACCGCCUGGGGAGUACGGUCGCAAGAUUAAAACUCAAAGGAAUUGACGGGGACCGCACAAGCGGUGGAUGAUGUGGAUUAAUUCGAUGCAACGCGAAGAACCUUACCUGGUCUUGGACAUGUACGGAAUCUCCAGAGACGGAGGAGUGCCUUCGGGACGUACACAGGUGCUGCAUGGCUGUCGUCAGCUCGUGUCGUGAGAUGUUGGGUUAAGUCCCGCAACGAGCGCAACCCUUGUCAUUAGUUGCCAUCAUUUAGUUGGGCACUCUAAUGAGACUGCGGUGACAGCCGGAGGAAGGUGGGGAUGACGUCAAGUCCUCAUGGCCCUUAUGACAGGGCUUCACACGUCAUACAAUGGUCGGUACAGAGGGUAGCCAAGCCGCGAGGUGGAGCCAAUCUCACAAAACCGAUCGUAGUCCGGAUUGCAUCUGCAACUCGAGUGCAUGAAGUCGGAAUCGCUAGUAAUCGCAGGUCAGCAUACUGCGGUGAAUACGUUCCCGGGUCUUGUACACACCGCCCGUCACACCAUGGGAGUGGGGGAUACCAGAAGUAGGUAGGGUAACCGCAAGGAGUCCGCUUACCACGGUAUGCUUCAUGACUGGGGUGAAGUCGUAACAAGGUAGCCGUAGGGGAACCUGCGGCUGGAUCACCU
This 1120-nucleotide ribosomal RNA is filed under the name Neisseria meningitidis. Its description in RNAcentral is "bacterial SSU rRNA". It matches the Rfam family "Bacterial small subunit ribosomal RNA", at positions 409 to 1528 of the family's 1533-position model. Lineage: Bacteria; Pseudomonadati; Pseudomonadota; Betaproteobacteria; Neisseriales; Neisseriaceae. The record is from RNAcentral.